This 84-nucleotide transfer RNA is filed under the name Neolentinus lepideus HHB14362 ss-1. It matches the Rfam family "tRNA". From Rfam's summary of the family: Transfer RNA (tRNA) molecules are approximately 80 nucleotides in length. Lineage: Eukaryota; Fungi; Basidiomycota; Agaricomycetes; Gloeophyllales; Gloeophyllaceae. The record is from Rfam by way of RNAcentral.
UGCCCCAUGGCUGAGUUGGUUACAGCGUCCGACUGUUAUUAUUGUGACAUCGGAAGGUCGUGAGUUCGAGCCUCACUGGGGCAG